This 467-nucleotide ribosomal RNA is filed under the name uncultured bacterium. Its description in RNAcentral is "partial 16S ribosomal RNA". It matches the Rfam family "Bacterial small subunit ribosomal RNA", at positions 29 to 507 of the family's 1533-position model. The record is from RNAcentral.
ACGAACGCUGGCGGCGUGCUUAACACAUGAAAGUCGAACGGAAAGGCCCUGCUUUUGUGGGGUGCUCGAGUGGCGAACGGGUGAGUAACACGUGAGUAACCUGCCCUUGACUUUGGGAUAACUUCAGGAAACUGGGGCUAAUACCGGAUAGGAGCUCCUGCUGCAUGGUGGGGGUUGGAAAGUUUCGGCGGUUGGGGAUGGACUCGCGGCUUAUCAGCUUGUUGGUGGGGUAGUGGCUUACCAAGGCUUUGACGGGUAGCCGGCCUGAGAGGGUGACCGGCCACAUUGGGACUGAGAUACGGCCCAGACUCCUACGGGAGGCAGCAGUGGGGAAUAUUGCACAAUGGGCGGAAGCCUGAUGCAGCAACGCCGCGUGCGGGAUGACGGCCUUCGGGUUGUAAACCGCUUUCGCCUGUGACGAAGCGUGAGUGACGGUAAUGGGUAAAGAAGCACCGGCUAACUACGUG